RNAcentral lists this transfer RNA (64 nucleotides) under Ixodes tasmani (Tasmanian possum tick). RNAcentral describes it as "tRNA-Phe". Lineage: Eukaryota; Metazoa; Arthropoda; Arachnida; Ixodida; Ixodidae. The record is from RNAcentral.
UUCUUGUAGUUUAUUUAUAAAAAAUAUUACACUGAAAAUGUAAAGAAAUUAAUUUUCGAGAAUA